CAGUAGCCACGGGAAUACGUAGGGUCCGAGCGUUGUCCGGAAUUAUUGGGCGUAAAGAGCUCGUAGGCGGUCUGUCGCGUCUGCCGUGAAAUCCUCAGGCUCAACCUGAGGCGUGCGGUGGGUACGGGCAGGCUAGAGUGCGGUAGGGGAGAAUGGAACUCCUGGUGUAGCGGUGGAAUGCGCAGAUAUCAGGAAGAACACCGAUGGCGAAGGCAGUUCUCUGGGCCGUAACUGACGCUGAGGAGCGAAAGCGUGGGGAGCGAACAGGAUUAGAUACCCCGGUAGUCCCUGUCUCUUAUAC
Molecule: ribosomal RNA, 301 nt
Filed under: uncultured bacterium
Lineage: Bacteria
Description: partial 16S ribosomal RNA
Rfam family: Bacterial small subunit ribosomal RNA
Source: RNAcentral